GACGAACGCUGGCGGCGUGCUUAACACAUGCAAGUCGAACGGAAAGGCCCUGCUUUUGUGGGGUGCUCGAGUGGCGAACGGGUGAGUAACACGUGAGUAACCUGCCCUUGACUUUGGGAUAACUUCAGGAAACUGGGGCUAAUACCGGAUAGGAGCUCCUGCUGCAUGGUGGGGGUUGGACAGUUUCGGCGGUUGGGGAUGGACUCGCGGCUUAUCAGCUUGUUGGUGGGGUAUUGGCUUACCAAGGCUUUGACGGGUAGCCGGCCUGAGAGGGUGACCGGCCACAUUGGGACUGAGAGACGGCCCAGACGCCUACGGGAGGCAGAAGUGGGGAAUAUGGCACAAUGGGCGGAAGCCUGAUGCAGCAACGCCGCGUGCGGGAUGACGGCCUUCGGGUGGUAAACCGCUUUCGCCUGUGACGAAGCGUGAGUGACGGUAAUGGGUAAAGAAGCACCGGCUAACUACGUG
This 468-nucleotide ribosomal RNA is filed under the name uncultured bacterium. RNAcentral's name for it is "partial 16S ribosomal RNA". It matches the Rfam family "Bacterial small subunit ribosomal RNA", at positions 28 to 507 of the family's 1533-position model. The record is from RNAcentral.